AGGCUGAAAGCAAAAAGGAGGCAAAGUUCAUGAUUGUCGAAAGACAAGGAAUACUGUCAUGGAAUUGCUCUCUUGAUGCUCUUUGCA
This is a microRNA precursor of Oikopleura dioica, 87 nucleotides long. It matches the Rfam family "mir-46/mir-47/mir-281 microRNA precursor family". Rfam says of the family: The hairpin precursors (represented here) are predicted based on base pairing and cross-species conservation -- their extents are not known. In this case the mature sequences are expressed from the 3' arms of the hairpin precursors. NCBI's taxonomy places the organism in Eukaryota, Metazoa, Chordata, Appendicularia, Copelata, Oikopleuridae. The record is from Rfam.